GACGAACGCUGGCGGCGUGCUUAACGCAUGCAAGUCGAACGGAAAGGCCCUGCUUUUGUGGGGUGCUCGAGUGGCGAACGGGUGAGUAACACGUGAGUAACCUGCCCUUGACUUUGGGAUAACUUCAGGAAACUGGGGCUAAUACCGGAUAGGAGCUCCUGCUGCAUGGUGGGGGUUGGAAAGUUUCGGCGGUUGGGGAUGGACUCGCGGCUUAUCAGCUUGUUGGUGGGGUAGUGGCUUACCAAGGCUUUGACGGGUAGCCCGCCUGAGAGGGUGACCGGCCACAAUGGGACUAAGAUACGGCCCAGACGCCUACGGGAGGCAGCAGGGGGGAAUAUGGCACAAUGGGCGGAAGCCUGAUGCAGCAACGCCGCGUGCGGGAUGACGGCCUUCGGGUUGUAAACCGCUUUCGCCUGUGACGAAGCGUGAGUGACGGUAAUGGGUAAAGAAGCACCGGCUAACUACGUG
Molecule: ribosomal RNA, 468 nt
Filed under: uncultured bacterium
Lineage: Bacteria
Description: partial 16S ribosomal RNA
Rfam family: Bacterial small subunit ribosomal RNA
Source: RNAcentral